This 433-nucleotide ribosomal RNA is filed under the name uncultured bacterium. RNAcentral describes it as "partial 16S ribosomal RNA". It matches the Rfam family "Bacterial small subunit ribosomal RNA", at positions 29 to 507 of the family's 1533-position model. The record is from RNAcentral.
AACGAACGCUGGCGGCAGGCUUAACACAUGCAAGUCGAACGGAUCCUUCGGGAUUAGUGGCAGACGGGUGAGUAACGCGUGGGAACGUACCCUUUGCUACGGAAUAACUCAGGGAAACUUGAGCUAAUACCGUAUGUGCCCUACGGGGGAAAGAUUUAUCGGCAAAGGAUCGGCCCGCGUUAGAUUAGCUAGUUGGUGGGGUAAUGGCCUACCAAGGCGACGAUCCAUAGCUGGUCUGAGAGGAUGAUCAGCCACACUGGGACUGAGACACGGCCCAGACUCCUACGGGAGGCAGCAGUGGGGAAUAUUGGACAAUGGGCGCAAGCCUGAUCCAGCCAUGCCGCGUGAGUGAUGAAGGUCUUAGGAUUGUAAAGCUCUUUCACCGGUGAAGAUAAUGACGGUAGCCGGAGAAGAAGCCCCGGCUAACUUCGUG